CCUCUUCGAGAAGAUGAAGUUAUUUCCUAUUUGCUCACAGGUCUCGGAUCUGAAUAUGAUCCCUUGGUCACAUCUAUCACCACAAGAAUUAGAGAUAUGACACUAGAAGAUGUAUAUGCCAAUCUAAUGAGUUUUGAGU
This is a small nucleolar RNA of Phragmites australis (common reed), 139 nucleotides long. RefSeq annotates it as small nucleolar RNA Z247. Lineage: Eukaryota; Viridiplantae; Streptophyta; Magnoliopsida; Poales; Poaceae. The record is from RefSeq and is a predicted model, not a curated record. The transcript has a single exon.